RNAcentral lists this non-coding RNA (99 nucleotides) under bovine gut metagenome. RNAcentral's name for it is "Cyclic di-GMP-I riboswitch". It matches the Rfam family "c-di-GMP-I riboswitch aptamer", at positions 8 to 85 of the family's 87-position model. From Rfam's summary of the family: GEMM was predicted in a large-scale screen for bacterial structured RNA regulatory elements. Genes associated with GEMM are involved in a diverse array of functions, including chemotaxis regulation, signal transduction, secretion and chitin. The record is from RNAcentral.
CCAAGGGCAAAUCAGCAGAAAUGUUGAGACGCAAAACUGGGAGUCUAACGUGAUUAGGGAUCUCGGGGAUCCCUAAUCACCAUGAUAGUUCGGUUGCAG